This 449-nucleotide ribosomal RNA is filed under the name uncultured bacterium. RNAcentral describes it as "partial 16S ribosomal RNA". It matches the Rfam family "Bacterial small subunit ribosomal RNA", at positions 29 to 523 of the family's 1533-position model. The record is from RNAcentral.
AGCGAACGCUGGCGGCAGGCCUAACACAUGCAAGUCGAACGGAUCCUUCGGGAUUAGUGGCGGACGGGUGAGUAACACGUGGGAACGUGCCCUUUGGUUCGGAACAACUCAGGGAAACUUGAGCUAAUACCGGGUGUGCCCUUCGGGGGAAAGAUUUAUCGCCAUUGGAGCGGCCCGCGUCUGAUUAGCUAGUUGGUGAGGUAAAGGCUCACCAAGGCGACGAUCAGUAGCUGGUCUGAGAGGAUGAUCAGCCACAUUGGGACUGAGACACGGCCCAAACUCCUACGGGAGGCAGCAGUGAGGAAUCUUGCGCAAUGGGCGAAAGCCUGACGCAGCCAUGCCGCGUGAAUGAUGAAGGUCUUAGGAUUGUAAAAUUCUUUCACCGGGGACGAUAAUGACGGUACCCGGAGAAGAAGCCCCGGCUAACUUCGUGCCAGCCGCCGCAGUAA